Aedes albopictus (Asian tiger mosquito) is the source of this 9165-nucleotide long non-coding RNA. RefSeq lists it as uncharacterized. NCBI's taxonomy places the organism in Eukaryota, Metazoa, Arthropoda, Insecta, Diptera, Culicidae. The transcript has 2 exons. The record is from RefSeq and is a predicted model, not a curated record.
AUCUUGGGUGGAAUUCAUGAAGGAAUUCCUGGAAGAAUCUCCGAAGAAAUUACUGCAGGAAUCUUUGAGGGAAUUGGCGGAGGAAUCUCCGGGGGAAUUUGUGGAGGAAUACCCAGAGGAAUUUCUGGAGGAAUUUCCAGAAGAAUUCCCGGAGGAAUCUCUAGAGGAAUUCCCGGAGAAAUCUCCGAAAGAAUUCCCGAAAGAAUCUCCGGGAAUUUCCGGAGGGAUUCCUGAAGGAUUCUCCGGAAGCAUUCCUGAAGGAAUCUCCAGAAGAAUUCCUGAAGGAAUCUGCGGAGGAAUUUUUGGAGGAAUCUCCGGAGGAAUUAUUGGAGAAAUCUCAGAAGGAAUUCCUGGAGAUUUGCUCCAGAAGAUCUUCUGGUGAUUGCUCCAGGAAUCCCUCCGGGGAAGUCCUGCAGGAAUUCUGGAAGAAUUGCACGGGAGUUUCAGAGGAACUCCUGGAAAAUUUCCCGGAAAAUUUCUGGUGGAAUUAUUUGUGAACUUCUAGUGGAAUGCUCGAGGUAAUUUUUUAUGAGUUCCUGGGGAAUUCCUGGAGGAAUUUCUUGGAAACUCUUUAUUGUCCCCACAAAUACCUGAAGGAAUUAACGAAGAACUUUUAGAGGCAUUCCCAGGGAACUCCCGGAAGUUUUAUCAGGAAUUUCCUGGAGGAAAAACCUGAUAAUUUUUGGAUGAUUUCCUGGGGCAUCCCUGGAGGAAUUUCCGGAACACUCCUUGAGGAAUUCCCGGGGGACUCCCUCGGGAAUAACCGGGGAACUCCGGAGGAAUUCCUGACUUCUGGAUGAAUUCCCGUGAACUCCUGGGGGACAUUCUAGAGGAAAUAUUGGGAAACUCCUGAACGUUUUCAGGAAACAAACAUAGGUAUUCACCGAACUGAAGUUGUUUUGAAAUUAACUGCAGGAAUUCCGCGCUCAUUGUGUUUUGCCGCAGCGGCAUACUUGCGGAUUGGUCCAUACCGCAGUGCUUCCGCAUUCCGUUGCCGGUCCCAUUGCGUUUUCCGCUUCAAACUGAUGUUGUUUCUUGAGUUUUUUCCUUGUCAAAUAUUGGACCCUGUGUACUACAAGCCUAAGGGCCAUGUGUACUAACAGCUUAAUGCACAUUGAUGUCUUUGGUGCGAAAGAUGAAACAAAAAAGAAAGAGAAAUGUCACUUUUACUCACGGAAUAAUACAUCGACAUAUUAUUCCGUACGGAAAAUUAACAACAUGACUGACAGCAUCGCAUGACACUGCCAUCUGUUGGCAAAUCUUUCUGGCUGCAAAUUACCUAUCAACUGCGAACGCUUAAGUAAUUUUCAUUGCUAAAGUUUUACGUGACCAUUACUUGUCCUAUCUUUUUACACAAUACUUACCAGGUGGAAACUAGCCAUAAAGAUAAAAAAGCCUGGAACUUAAAACGCGUUUUCCUCAGUUUGCUGUUUUGGAACAUGGGGCAGCUAUGCUGCACACGGCAACAAUAGCUUGUCCCAAAACAAAAAAUCGAUGUUUGAAAAGUCAAGGUGCUUAGUUCUGAAAUGAAAGUUAUGCAUAUUCGAAGCAUUUUUAUAGAGCAUUUCGAUUUUCUUAAAAAAAAUCAUUAAGAGGUUCCGCCAGGGCGAUUUUUGAGAAUGGCCAUUUUCUAUGCAAAUUCUCGAAAAAAAACCUUAUUUCGUAAUAUUUAUUCAACUUCUAUAUAUUCGAGAUUUUUUUUAAUAUAUUUUGAUAUUUUUUUUUUCAUUCUUGAAAGAAUUUCUAGUUAACAAAAAAGGGCUGCAGCUGUCGGGGAUUCCUCGAAGUUAUGUCGAACCUAAUGCGUUGCUAUCAGUAUGCACGACACUCGUAAUUGUUGUACAUAGUUAUUCACAUAAAAGCUCUUCAUGAAUCAACUGCGAACCGUCCCAGAAUAAAUAGAAAACAAUCCAUAUUUGGACUAGUUUGCGCAUACAAUAAGUAAAGCUUUUGUUUUGAGACUUACCUGUCUAAAUAUAUGUACAUACAUUAGAGUGUCACAAAAACAGUAAUAUACAAAGUUUUGCAAAUAUUUGAAAUAUUGUCCAUUCAUUAAAAGUGCAAUAUCUCGGCUUCUAGACAAGAUACUUUAAAUCUUUCAUUGAAGAAAUAACGCUUAUGAAUAGAACUAUCAGAUUUCGUGGUUGAUAAAAAUGUAUUUUUAGCAAAUGUUGAUUUUUUGUUCAAGGUUCUGCCGUCAACAUAAACACAAUAUUUCAAAAAGUAAAAUACUGCAAGAAUGUCCAUAAAAAUCCAUAAAAAAUACCAAAAUUUAGAAAAAAAUUCAGAAAUUGUAAAAAAUAUUACGAAAAUAUGAUUUUUUGUUUUUGAGAAGUUUCAUUAAAAAAAUGAUCAUUUUUCAAAAAUUACCUGACGGAACCUCUAAAUGUUUUUUUUUUCAAGAUCGAAAUGUUCUACAAAUAUGCUUCAAAUAUUCAUAUCUUUCAUUUUAGGGUUGAGAACAGCACCUUGACCUUUCGAACAUCGAUUUUUUUUGGGACACAAUGGCCCAUGGCCAUGUAUCACAACAAAAACUGAUCAUAUUAACUUGAGAGAAUCUGCCGUGAACCAAACUGAGAGAAAUCAAAGGCUCUGUAUGAAUUCUCCAAAAAGUGGCAGUUAAUCGUCCAAGCGUUUCGUAAGCCUUCGAGUGUGGGUUCGGUUCUCAGUCAAGUCGGAGAAAACUUUUCGUCAAACGGAGAAUUCUCCACUGGGCAGUGGUCCAGUGGGGUGUUAUGGUAUAUUGAAGCAGAUCCUUAAGGUUUUUGUGUUCAUAGUCCACUGCUCUGAAUUUCAAAAAGCUUGUAGGAAUAUGUUGUUUCUAUUUUCCAGGUGUUCAUUGUAGUUCGAAGUCCACCUUUCAAUCACCUUACGUCCGCUAGUUGAGUCCCAUGUUGAUUUUUCCUGCAUAUCUGAUUUACUGAAUUCUAAAAAGCAUGUUUGAUUAUAUGACGUCUAUAUUUUUUCAGAUGUUCAUCGUAGUAGUAUUACCACCUUUCAACCAUUUUAUGUCCAUUCAUAAAGUGCAUGCACCGCAUGUUUCGAAUUCCGGUUGAAAGCCUUAGUGAAAAUCAUGUUUGUUUUUCUUAUACUGGCCGUGUUUUCAACGCCUAGCAAUCAUCCUUGAAAGUAAGUACUCAUGGUCACCUUUCAAGUUCGUUCAUGAGGAAGAAACCAGAGUCCAUGCAGUUCUCGGAACCAAUGCCACCGAUCGCCCAACUAAUAACACUGGAUCCUGUGAGGUCUGCUCGAAUACUCAAGAUGACCGUCCCAGUUUCUCGGUGACACCCUCCUCGAUCUUGCCUGUUAUCGUGCACAUAAUCCUCUGUUGCGGAAGAGACAAUGGCAAACGUAAAAUAUAGGCAUAUUCGUAUGAUAAUGAUAAUGUUUAUUAUUUGUUUAUGUAAAUGCAGUUUCGUGUCGAUCGACCGUCAGCCGGUGGAUCCCGCAGUAGGCGAAUUCAAGACUUCAGUUUUUUUUUGCACCGUGAAAUUUGAGUCGCGGUAGGCUGUGCAGAAGCACUGCGGCACUCUUUGGUUCCAUGAGUGAAGUGUGCUCGCUCACUCAGUGUACUUCUCGCAUUGAAGAAGUGCCACUUGAGAACGCUGGUUGCUUUGACCGGGUGCCGCCGCUACUCGCUCGAUAAGUUCUUGCGAAGUUAACGAAACCAUUGAACUUCAUCGUUUCCUUCAGGAGAGAGCGCGCGCGUCAGGUGGUAAUCAUCAUUACUCGAUCCAUCAAAAUAUCUUCACCGGGGUGCUCCCGUCCGCGUCCAUUGCCAUCGUUGUUGAUUGCCGAAAUUCCUGCUGAACCCCUCCGAAGAAGUCGGGAGAAUGCAGGUCUUGUUUCUUUUCGCGCGGGCGCCAUUUAUCGCUGAAUUGAUUACAAUCAGUGUUCCAGCCAGCGGUUCGGUCGGUCGGUCAACAAUCUUGAUGGGGAAGAUAAUGAUGGUUAAAUUAUUAUCAUGACUGGUCGUGGUAGGUGGCGGUAGGUCUCCCUGUGCGAUAGGGUUCAGAAUGGGGUCACCUAACGGGUGGUAUGGCGGGGACCUUCAUUACCGAUAACGACGACAGCGACGACUGUGUUGAUCACGGGGUCCAAAUAUUUAAGAACGACGAUUGAGCAUUAACGAUUGGUUGUAGGUGGUAGCCGCCCACUCAAUUCCGUUGGUUCUUCGUUCUAUGAAGAAAGCACAGACGAACAUCGUCGUAGAUGAUUUAUCAUGAGAAAUGAUUUCUUCAGAUUGAAUGGAAUUUCAUAUAAUUACGUUAUUACGAUGGAGCGGGUAGCGAGAGUGCUAGAAUGAAAAACACCAGAACUUUCACAAGAAAUUUUUCAACCAAUACUGUUAGUAGCUUGAACAAGAGUGAAAUUUCUUUCCUAAGUCCCAUCAAGUAACUCACCUAGAGUUCCUCUGGGGAAUCUCUAGAAUUUCUUUGCAGAUUUCCUUUUGAACUUCCACCAGAAAGUCAUUUAUGAGUUUCUUCUGACAUCCCUCAGAACUUAUGGUAUUUUUUUAUUCAUUCAAGGUUUUAGUCUAGAGAUCUUUUUGAAAUUAACGGAGAUGCUCCUUUUGAAGUUCAUUUGGGAAGAAAUUCCGGGAAAGGAUUACCAACUUCAAUGAACGCUUUAUCCAAGAUUUGUUUUUAAUUCCUUCAGAAAUUUCUUCGUAGAUUUCUCCAGGUAUUGCUUUUGGGGUUCCCCUUGAAGUGAUUUUCAAAGACUUUAUACAGACAUUCUUCCAAGAAGUUCUUUUGAAAUUCGUUCAGGAAUUUCGUCAAGAGUUGGGAUUCCUUCGGGAGUUGUUUCAGGAAAUCUUGGAAAAUCUGGGAAUCCUCCUGGGAGUUCCUUCUUGUAAUCGUCUAGUACUUUCUUCUGGAGAUCCUUUAAGGGUUCCGACUAAAGGUUUAUCAAUAGUUCUAUCUGGAAAUUCUCCUGGAAGUACUUAAAAAACCUUCAGAAGUUAUUUCAGGAAGCCCUCCUGGAGUUCCUUCUGGAAACCUUACAGGAGUGCUAUGUUACCAGUAGCAUGUCCAGGUUAUCUCCAGCCUACUUAGUUGCGAUGAAAUGACACAUUUUUUUGGAAGCAACUUACCAAAGGAACAAUGUUUUGACCGCUGAUUAAAGUGCGUUGUUAAAGACCUCCCUCCCUUGAAAGCAGUUGUCUGUGCUGUUUCCAAGAACGACACUAAAGCACCUUUCAAUCAGCCUCAAGCAAUGGUACUGUGGCAGUAGGUACACAGCAUCGACCGACGACUGACUACGGACGAUGAAAACUCGCGCUGGAGAGAUGGCCUAAUCGCAUUAACGCUCACUUCUCAUCGUGGUCUUUCGCCCGGUCGCGUCGCUUCGGUUGCUCAGUGGUUACCUACCUACCGUACCGUCCUGGUACUGCACUUCGGGGGCUCCCUCCAUUCACAGCGUGCCCUCAUUUCACAUUCAACUGCGGGUACCAUUAUCAUCCGACCAUUUAAGAUAAUCUAUUGCCACCGCAGGCUAUUUUCGCAAGUUCGGAAAAGAAGCGACGGAGAGAAUUCAAAAGCUCGGCGCUGACUGAACAUAAAUCGCUCGACAAGGAAGCACCGCCGCACUAACUGUCACCUUGGUGUGACCCCCCGACCGCGUCCGUCCCUUUCCGAGAGUUUCCGUGGCCGGGUGUCGCGGGAUAGCACUUCCAAGGAACCCCCCUCGGUGCUGGAGGCCAUCGCGCGAAUCACACCAGAAAGAGCGCAACGCGGUUCAGAGAGGAGUCAGUCAGGAGGCCUUUGGGUACUAAAUACGGCGACAUUUCAAAUUAAACUGUAAUCUCUUUCUCGGCACUGGUGCUGCUUCUGCUGCUGAUCGUGUGGCAGCGAUAAGCGCGAAGGCAUUGGCAUCGGCUUUGGAGGGACACUCACUUUCAUUAAUUUUCGCCCCGCGCGUUUUUGUCGUUGUUGUGGUCUUCGUUGCCAGCGACUUAUCUAGUAGGCCAGCUGUCCCACUGUACCGGUGUUUUCCGAUAGCUAGCUGUCCCGAAGUAGGCGACGCCCACUGGAUCUGAGAAAUGCUUGCUUUUUAGAGGGAAGCUGUUGUUUCUUUCGAUUUGGUCGCAUAGGAAUUUAAUUAAAUCAUCAUUCUCGUUAAAAAUGAUUAAUUGAAGACGGAUCUCGUUGGGUCGCUGGCCGGAGAUUGGAAACAACGGUUUUCCUUCUUCUGACGAUUAUUUUUACUCCUUUCUUCGGUGCCCAGAGGGGUGUCUUUUGUUUAGAUAUAAUAUGUGAGUGUGACUGCGACGAACCUAGGUACCACACACGCUAAUGGCAAAAUUAUGGAAAUGAGCGCGAACAAUGGCCGCAAGACGUCAUUAAUUUUUAAUUUCCUUUCUAAACGCGAACGGUGAACGGUUGGUGGCUCCUGGUGAGAACGUUGGAAUUCUGCACAUGCUGGAACGCUUAGACUUUAACCCUCCUUUUGCAUAAGGGUCAUUUUUGCCCAACUUUUUUUAUUUGGCGAAAGGUAACUUCCAGCUUUAAAAUUAAUUGAGUAUCCUGGGAAAGUGAAAUGCUACUUGCUAUUUUUUCUUGAAUUUUCAUUUUUUAACGAUUUUCAAAACAAGCAACAGGAAAAAAAUGAUAUUUUUACACAAAAGAAGGAUCUAAUUGUAGAUUCUACGAAUGUUUUGUAUCAAAAAUUGUUUCCUUCUAAUUGUUUUUUAAAAUUGAUUGUAUUCAAAAAAAAAAACCUAAUUAAUGCACCUAGCGGUGAUGGAGCCUUUCUCGUGCUUUCGAAACCCCAUUUCUACAAAACUCAAGUGACAUGUUGAUGAUUAUCACACUUUCAUACGUUUAACAGAAAUCCAUUCCAUGACACCAGAUGUCAUAUCGUUUAUUUGGAUUUUGAUGAUAAUGCCCUUUCUUAAAAAAGCUGCAUUCUUGAAUUUUAAGCCGCCAUUUUGCAUGUCCGGUCUGGUCAUCAUUUUUGGAAAUUCUGGUCGCCAUUUUUUGACUCCACACUUCUUCCCCGUACCAGAUAUACCCAUAUUGAAUGGUUUUUAGUCUGCUAUCUUGGAUAUUCUAGUCACCAUAUUUGGACUCCAAACAUUAUCAUACCAAAUAUACCCAUAUUGUGUGGUUUUAGGACCUAAAACACCAUUAAAUAGCCGCCAUUUUUAAUUUUGAGCCGCCAUCUUGGAUAUUCUGGUCGCUAUUUUUGAAUUCCGGACAUCUUCCCCAUACCAGAUAUGGCCAUAUUGCAUGAUUUUGGAGACGAAAACUCCAUUAAACAGCCGCCAUCUUGAAUUUGGAGCCGCCAUCUUGGAUUUUAGACCGCCAUCUUGGAUAUUCUGGUCGCCAUUUUUAGACUCUGGACAUCUGCCUCACACCAAAUAUACCCCAUUCUGCAUGGUUUUAGAGAGCCUUACCCGACUAGAAAAUUAUAUCAAGUUUAUAACACAUUGUGUUAUGAUGAUAUGAAAUUUUUCUAUAACUUAUUUUGUUAUAAACCAGAUGCAGGAUGAUGUUAAAAUAACUAAAACUGAAACAAAAAGUUCACCGGUCUAAUCAAAAUAAUAACUUAUUUUGAUAUGAACAGAACAAUAUUAUAACGCAAUAUGAUAUAAAUUUUAGCUUCAAGAAAACUAGUUUCUAUCAUAUUUUGAUACAAUUGUGUAAAAUGAUGUUCUGAAUGUCAAAGAACCAAAACUUAAUUAUUUCACAAUGAGUUAUUGAAGUUGUUCAUAUAACAUAAUAUGAUACAAUUGAGUUCUAAUAUUUUUAAACACCAAUGAUGUUAACAUGGUUAUAUAACAAUGAGUUAUACAUCUAUAUAUAUAUAUAUAAAAAUGCAGUGGCAUACUUGGGACCGCGCAUAACUUGCGAACGGAUGGUCCGAUUUGGGUCAUCUAAGUUUUGUUAUGUUAGUUUUCACCGAAGGAAGGUUUAUGAGGCCUAAAACAAGGGAAAAUUGAGAGUUUUUGAAAAUCGGGUUUUCAUACAUUUUGAACGGGGACUUGGGCGCUUGGCUAGGGACUUGAAACGUCAAAAAACGCAGUAGGCAAGACAAAGUUUGCCGGGGACAGCUAGUAUGUUAUAAAUAUGUUAUAUUUUUGUUUGAAUCUUCUAGUCGGGCAAGCGCUAGUAACAGUCGCCAUCUUGAAUAUCAGGCUGCUAUCUUGAUUUUUGGGCCGAUAUCGUGGAAUUUCUGGUCUCCAGCUUUGAUUUGCGCACAAAAUUCGCAAACCAUGCUAGAGUUUACAAAAAUUGCCGCAAUUUGAUGUGUCGCAUGAUGUGGCUUGGUUUAGUUUUAUUUACGGCCAGUUCUACCGGUGCUGGUCCAAAUCACUGAAAUGACCAUAACUCCGGAACGCCUUAAGGUGAAGAUAUAACGGAGCCACACCUCGAAUUUUCAAGACCACAAAUCUGAGGAACCGAAAAUUGGAUUGCGCUGAAAAGUUGAUCGAUUCCCGACUAGAAGAUUCGAACAAAAAUAUAACAUAAUUGUAACAAAUCAUGAUAUGUAUAAUUCAUUGUGAUAUAAUCAUGUUUAACAUCAUUGGUGUUUAAAAAUAUUAUAACUCAAUUGUGUUAUAUUAUGUUAUAAAUGUUGUUCAAUAACUCAUUGUGAAACAAUUUAGUUCUGAUUCUUUGACAUUCAGAACAUAAUUUUUUGCAAUUUCUCAUCGUAAUAGGCUGUUUUGUCUGACGCAAAUCUGACAGGAAAAGGCCUACUUUCCCACACCAAAUAAACAGUGCUGUAAUGGUUCAUUACAGCACUGAUUUGCGUGGCGUAAUGAGCCAUUACAGCAUUGUUUUCAGUUUUGAUCAACUUCUUGAUGCUUUCUGGACGCAGUUUUGAAAAAUUAUGACAACUGCAUAGUAUAACCUGCUAUGCUCGGCAAGCCUCGUUGGAUAAAUGUACGACUCGUGCUGUAAAAAUCUUCAUUCUGCACCUUGUUUCCACAUUAUGUAACACAUUCAAACCUUACAGCAUGUACCAAAAACAGCGUGAUCCGACAGUUAUAGUUAGACGAAACAUAGGACAAAUAACGACACAAAGAUUUACCCCCUGAGGAAGACACAAACCCCGUGUCGAAACGUUGGGCAAAUAAAUAACGUCGUUUGUUCAUUUUAUGACUGCGUAGCCAAAAAUAGUUAAUUGUACCAUACAGUCGAUUCAAUCCCAGUUCAA